Molecule: ribosomal RNA, 638 nt
Filed under: uncultured fungus
Lineage: Eukaryota; Fungi
Description: eukaryotic LSU rRNA
Rfam family: Eukaryotic large subunit ribosomal RNA
Source: RNAcentral
CCCGCUGAACUUAAGCAUAUCAAUAAGCGGAGGAAAAGAAACCAACAAGGAUUCCCCUAGUAACUGCGAGUGAAGCGGGAAAAGCUCAAAUUUAAAAUCUGGCCGUCUCGCGGCCGUCCGAGUUGUAAUCUGGAGAAGCGCUUAUCCGCGUCGGACCGUGUACAAGUCUUCCGGAAGGGAGCGUCAUAGAGGGAGAGAAUCCCGUCUUUGACAGGGACAACCGAUGCUUUUAUGAGGCGCUCUCGAAGAGAUCGAGUUGUUUGGGAAUGCACCUCAAAAUGGGUGGUAAAUUCCAUCUAAAGCUAAAUAUUGGCGAGAGACCGAUAGCGAGCAAGUACCGUGAGGGAAAGAUGAAAAGCACUUUGGAAAGAGAGAUUAACACUACGUGAAAUUGUUGAGAGGGAAACGUUUGAAGUCAGUCGCGUCGGCCGAGAGUCAACCUUGCUUCUGCUAGGUGCACUUCUCGGUAGACGGAUCAGCAUCAAUUUCGACCGCCGGAUAAAGGUCGGGGGAAUGUGGCAUCCUCCGGGAUGUGCUAUAGACCACGAUUGGGAUACGGCGACUGGGAUCGAGGAACUCAGCGCUUUGCGUCCAGGAUGCUGGCAUAAUGGCUUUAAGCGACCCGUCUUGAAACACGG